This 179-nucleotide ribosomal RNA is filed under the name Clostridium botulinum. RNAcentral's name for it is "partial 16S ribosomal RNA". It matches the Rfam family "Bacterial small subunit ribosomal RNA", at positions 1 to 176 of the family's 1533-position model. The record is from RNAcentral. Lineage: Bacteria; Bacillati; Bacillota; Clostridia; Eubacteriales; Clostridiaceae.
UUUAAAUUUAGAGUUUGAUCCUGGCUCAGGACGAACGCUGGCGGCGUGCUUAACACAUGCAAGUCGAGCGAUGAAACUUCCUUCGGGAAGUGGAUUAGCGGCGGACGGGUGAGUAACACGUGGGUAACCUGCCUCAAAGUGGGGGAUAGCCUUCCGAAAGGAAGAUUAAUACCGCAUAA